GACGAACGCUGGCGGCGUGCUUAACACAUGCAAGUCGAGCGGAAAGGCCACUUCGGUGGUACUCGAGCGGCGAACGGGUGAGUAACACGUGAGUAAUCUGCCCCUGGCUUUGGGAUAGCCACCGGAAACGGUGAUUAAUACCGGAUACGACCACUUCUCGCAUGGGAUGGUGGUGGAAAGUUUUUUCGGCCAGGGGUGUGCUCGCGGCCUAUCAGCUUGAUGGUGAGGUAAUGGCUCACCAUGGCUUCGACGGGUAGCCGGCCUGAGAGGGUGACCGGUCACACUGGGACUGAGACACGGCCCAGACUCCUACGGGAGGCAGCAGUGGGGAAUAUUGGACAAUGGGCGGAAGCCUGAUCCAGCAACGCCGCGUGAGGGAUGACGGCCUGCGGGUUGUAAACCUCUUUCAGCAGGGACGAAGCGCAAGUGACGGUACCUGCAGAAGAAGCACCGGCCAACUACGUGCCAGCCGCCGCGGUAA
RNAcentral lists this ribosomal RNA (481 nucleotides) under uncultured bacterium. RNAcentral describes it as "partial 16S ribosomal RNA". It matches the Rfam family "Bacterial small subunit ribosomal RNA", at positions 28 to 523 of the family's 1533-position model. The record is from RNAcentral.